CUUGUUGUUGACGCGACUGCUGUUAGGAAGACCUUCCCAGUUGUAGUUCUUCCAAACUAGGUCUGUCGCAACGGCGAGCC
Molecule: microRNA precursor, 80 nt
Filed under: Triops cancriformis
Lineage: Eukaryota; Metazoa; Arthropoda; Branchiopoda; Notostraca; Triopsidae
Description: microRNA tcf-mir-10328 precursor
Source: miRBase by way of RNAcentral